Molecule: ribosomal RNA, 490 nt
Filed under: uncultured bacterium
Lineage: Bacteria
Description: partial 16S ribosomal RNA
Rfam family: Bacterial small subunit ribosomal RNA
Source: RNAcentral
AUUGAACGCUGGCGGCAGGCCUAACACAUGCAGGUCGAACGGUAACAGGAAGAAGCUUGCUUCUUUGCUGACGAGUGGCGGACGGGUGAGUAAUGUCUGGGAAACUGCCUGAUGGAGGGGGAUAACUACUGGAAACGGUAGCUAAUACCGCAUAACGUCGCAAGACCAAAGAGGGGGACCUUCGGGCCUCUUGCCAUCGGAUGUGCCCAGAUGGGAUUAGCUAGUAGGUGGGGUAACGGCUCACCUAGGCGACGAUCCCUAGCUGGUCUGAGAGGAUGACCAGCCACACUGGAACUGAGACACGGUCCAGACUCCUACGGGAGGCAGCAGUGGGGAAUAUUGCACAAUGGGCGCAAGCCUGAUGCAGCCAUGCCGCGUGUAUGAAGAAGGCCUUCGGGUUGUAAAGUACUUUCAGCGGGGAGGAAGGGAGUAAAGUUAAUACCCUUGCUCAUUGACGUUACCCGCAGAAGAAGCACCGGCUAACUCCGUG